AUUUAUAAAGUUUAUAAAACAUUUCAUUUUCAUUGAAAAGAGGGACUUAGUCUUAUAAAUA
RNAcentral lists this transfer RNA (61 nucleotides) under Rhodopsalta leptomera. Its description in RNAcentral is "tRNA-Glu". Lineage: Eukaryota; Metazoa; Arthropoda; Insecta; Hemiptera; Cicadidae. RNAcentral also lists the same sequence under 6 other names. The record is from RNAcentral.